CCCACUGAACCCGUGACAACCAGUCCCCAGACGCAAACGCAGGGACACGAGGAAGAGAGCCUUGGAGCCGACCCCUCCUUCAAUUCGCUUACCACUGAGUCCGUCGGCACGAGCCCCGACGCGCAGUGGGACGGCGGCGCCGCCGCCACCCAGGCGGACGAUGAGGCGGAGAGUGGGGCGCCCGGCUCCCCUUCCCCGCCCCGACCGCCGCCGAGCAUCUCCUCGCGCCGCGAUCCUCUCAGCGCCGGGUGCUUCCGGAGGCUGGCCGCCUCCUGCGAAGCCCGCCGACUCCGCGAGGCGGCGCUCCUCCGUGCGUCUAAACCGCCCGCGGAGAAGGCCGAGGACCCCGACGAGCCAAUCUGGCCACCAAGAAGCCGCCAUUGGAGGCGCUUCGUGGAACUAAAAACUAUGGGGUCCAGGCCGGCUAAUCCUGUGCCCAACCCUGAUGAGAGUUCAUUAUCUCAUAUCAAGAGCCAAGAUAUGUUAGCUGACAAGGUUGUGGACCAAUGGGAUGACAGUGACACUGAAAACUCCUCUGGAAAUGCAUCAUAUCAAAUUGUUCCUUACAAGAAUGUCCAGGGAGAAAACAACUUACCUGUGCUGUCUAAAAAAAGAAAAUUCAUUAUCAGUACAUAUUCUGUGCAAUGUAGUACUUGCCAGAAAUGGAGAGUUGUACCAUCCAAACUGAAAUAUGAGCAAAUCCGAGAGAAUAUUAUACAAGUUCCUUUUUCUUGCAAAUAUGUCCAUGGGUGGAAGCCACAAGUUACAUGCCAUGAUCCAACUGAUAUAUCUGAGGAUAAUGGCAUGGCAUGGGAAAUUGCUAUCCCAUGCAUCCCUCAGACCCCUCUUGGGUACUAUAUCUCUCCCGCAGGCAUAAAAAUAAGAUCCAAGAAAGAGGUCGAAAGGUAUCUUGAAGACAACCCAGACUAUGCUGCCGAUUUACAUUUAUCUCAGUUUUCGUUCAAGGUACCUAAACCUCCAAAUUGCCCUCGUCAGUCAGAGCUUAUUGAACCAACUGAAGUGCCACCUCCGGUUCACGAGGAUCCCGUGCACAACUACAUGCCGGUCCCUCAUGGAGAAGCCAAUCCUGUAACUCACAUACCAGUGACACUAGCUCUACAAGUAUCAGUGAUGCUCUCCAAAAAGAGAAAACUAAACCAGUGAUGCUCUCCAGAAAGAAAGGAAAAUGAAAAUGCUCUAUAAGUGAUGUUCAAACGUCAGACUUGAAAUGUGUUAUUUUGCUGUAUCAUCUUACUGUAUGUGUCCUACCUUAGCUAAGGUCGCUCCCUUUAUGCCGUAGUUUGCUCCAGCUUGGCUGGAACUGAGAAAGUUAUUGGGACAUCGACAUCAACAGAUGAACGUUGUUGCAGAAAGUUAUUGAAACUGCCACAUUGCUUUUACC
RNAcentral lists this ribosomal RNA (1402 nucleotides) under Triticum aestivum (bread wheat). RNAcentral describes it as "partial small subunit ribosomal RNA". Lineage: Eukaryota; Viridiplantae; Streptophyta; Magnoliopsida; Poales; Poaceae. The record is from RNAcentral.